GCCGCGGUAGUCCAGUCGGUAGUAGCGUCGGCAGUACAAAUGCUGAAGGUCGCAGGUUGAAAUCCUGCCUGCGGUG
This is a non-coding RNA of Phthorimaea operculella (potato tuberworm), 76 nucleotides long. Lineage: Eukaryota; Metazoa; Arthropoda; Insecta; Lepidoptera; Gelechiidae. The record is from the annotation of a GenBank genome assembly.